GAUGAAGAACGUAGCGAAAUGCGAUAAGUAAUGUGAAUUGCAGAAUUCAGUGAAUCAUCGAGUCUUUGAACGCACAUUGCGCCCCCUGGUAUUCCGGGGGGCAUGCCUGUCCGAGCGUCAUUGCUGCCCUCAAGCACGGCUUGUGUGUUGGGCCUCCGUCCUCCUCCCGGGGGACGGGCCCGAAAGGCAGCGGCGGCACCGCGUCCGGUCCUCGAGUGUAUGGGGCUUCGUCACCCGCUCUUGUAGGCCCGGCCGGCGCUUGCCGACACAUCAAUCUUUUUUCCAGGUUGACCUCGGAUCAGGUAGGGAUACCCGCUGAACUUAAGCAUAUCAAUAAGCGGAGGA
Molecule: unclassified non-coding RNA, 345 nt
Filed under: soil metagenome
Description: partial contains 5.8S ribosomal RNA, internal transcribed spacer 2, and large subunit ribosomal RNA
Rfam family: 5.8S ribosomal RNA (bases 1-120)
Source: RNAcentral